Molecule: ribosomal RNA, 467 nt
Filed under: uncultured bacterium
Lineage: Bacteria
Description: partial 16S ribosomal RNA
Rfam family: Bacterial small subunit ribosomal RNA
Source: RNAcentral
GACGAACGCUGGCGGCGUGCUUAACACAUGCAAGUCGAACGGAAAGGCCCUGCUUUUGUGGGGUGCUCGAGUGGCGAACGGGUGAGUAACACGUGAGUAACCUGCCCUUGACUUUGGGAUAACUUCAGGAAACUGGGGCUAAUACCGGAUAGGAGCUCCUGCUGCAUGGUGGGGUUGGAAAGUUUCGGCGGUUGGGGAUGGACUCGCGGCUUAUCAGCUUGUUGGUGGGGUAGUGGCUUACCAAGGCUUUGACGGGUAGCCGGCCUGAGAGGGUGACCGGCCACAUUGGGACUGAGAUACGGCCCAGACUCCUACGGGAGGCAGCAGUGGGGAAUAUUGCACAAUGGGCGGAAGCCUGAUGCAGCAACGCCGCGUGCGGGAUGACGGCCUUCGGGUUGUAAACCGCUUUCGCCUGUGACGAAGCGUGAGUGGCGGUAAUGGGUAAAGAAGCACCGGCUAACUACGUG